Molecule: ribosomal RNA, 465 nt
Filed under: Vreelandella stevensii
Lineage: Bacteria; Pseudomonadati; Pseudomonadota; Gammaproteobacteria; Oceanospirillales; Halomonadaceae
Description: partial 16S ribosomal RNA
Rfam family: Bacterial small subunit ribosomal RNA
Source: RNAcentral
CCUACGGGUGGCUGCAGUGGGGAAUAUUGGACAAUGGGGGGAACCCUGAUCCAGCCAUGCCGCGUGUGUUAAGAAGGCCCUCGGGUUGUAAAGCACUUUCAGUGAGGAAGAACGCCUGGUGGUUAAUACCCAUCAGGAAAGACAUCACUCACAGAAGAAGCACCGGCUAACUCCGUGCCAGCAGCCGCGGUAAUACGGAGGGUGCGAGCGUUAAUCGGAAUUACUGGGCGUAAAGCGCGCGUAGGUGGCUUGAUAAGCCGGUUGUGAAAGCCCCGGGCUCAACCUGGGAACGGCAUCCGGAACUGUCAAGCUAGAGUGCAGGAGAGGAAGGUAGAAUUCCCGGUGUAGCGGUGAAAUGCGUAGAGAUCGGGAGGAAUACCAGUGGCGAAGGCGGCCUUCUGGACUGACACUGACACUGAGGUGCGAAAGCGUGGGUAGCAAACAGGAUUAGAUACCCUAGUAGUC